Long non-coding RNA from Panicum virgatum (switchgrass), 421 nucleotides. RefSeq lists it as uncharacterized. The record is from RefSeq and is a predicted model, not a curated record. Lineage: Eukaryota; Viridiplantae; Streptophyta; Magnoliopsida; Poales; Poaceae. The transcript has 3 exons.
GGGCUUCUACACAGGAUUGCUGCUGGAACAAAUCAGGAAUUCUCAAGAAGAAGGAGCUAGUGCAUAGGCAAUAUCUUACACGGAUCUGCUGACAGGGGGCUACAGCUACGAGGUAUGAAUGUUAUACAUACAUUGUCAACAUUACACAGGGAAUAUAUGUACAGAGCUUGAUUUUUAAAAUGGAAUUUGAAUUUAUAUGCAGGAAACUGAAAACAUUAACGUACAAGAUCUUGGGAUGAGCAUGAUAGACACAGGCAGAUAUGAGCAUGGAACCAGAGUAAUAGAUGUAUCAACAACAAUAUCACAGAGCGAAUACAUAGAAGGAGAAGAUAUUGGAGAAGCUGAAGUAUACAAUGAUGAUGGUGUAUGCAAUCAAGAUAUCUUUGAAAACAUGCAAUUAGAAGAGGUAAUUUGAAAAAAA